This 650-nucleotide ribosomal RNA is filed under the name uncultured bacterium. RNAcentral describes it as "bacterial SSU rRNA". The stretch from base 1 to 538 matches the Rfam family "Bacterial small subunit ribosomal RNA", at positions 338 to 873 of the family's 1533-position model. The record is from RNAcentral.
CCUACGGGAGGCAGCAGUAAGGAAUAUUGGUCAAUGGACGCAAGUCUGAACCAGCCAUGCCGCGUGCAGGAUGACGGCCCUCUGGGUUGUAAACUGCUUUUGUACGGGAAGAAACCUCUCUACGUGUAGAGAGCUGACGGUACCGUAAGAAUAAGGACCGGCUAACUUCGUGCCAGCAGCCGCGGUAAUACGAAGGGUCCAAGCGUUAUCCGGAUUUAUUGGGUUUAAAGGGUGCGUAGGCGGCUUAUUAAGUCAGUGGUGAAAGACUUCAGCUUAACUGAAGAACUGCCAUUGAUACUGAUGAGCUUGAAUAUACUUGAGGUGGGCGGAAUGUGUCAUGUAGCGGUGAAAUGCUUAGAUAUGACACAGAACACCGAUUGCGAAGGCAGCUCGCUAAAGUAUGAUUGACGCUGAGGCACGAAAGCGUGGGGAGCAAACAGGAUUAGAUACCCUGGUAGUCCACGCCCUAAACGUUGAUAACUCGAUGUGUGNGAUAUACAGUACGCGUCCGACGACGAACGACAUUAAGUUAAUUACCUACCUACGGAAGGUAACGGUACGGCGAAGAAGUUAGUAAACGUUAAAUUAAGUAAGUUAGUACGGACGUAGAGACGUUAGACCGACGGACGACGACGAGGGGAGGGAGGGAG